This is an RNA transcript of Eucalyptus grandis, 2767 nucleotides long. It is a transcript of the gene named disease resistance protein RUN1, with no coding region annotated. NCBI's taxonomy places the organism in Eukaryota, Viridiplantae, Streptophyta, Magnoliopsida, Myrtales, Myrtaceae. The record is from RefSeq and is a predicted model, not a curated record. The transcript is spliced from 6 exons.
UUCCCUCGCGUCGCCCAAGCGCGUAGCGGGUGCGCACAAGUCAACGGUCUUGGUCAUAGUCUUGGUCAUGGGUAAAAUGCAAUCUAUAGUGUUGUCUAAUGAUGUCUACAGACCUCAUGUGCCCUCUGCAAGAGAACGGGAGAAAGAGAUAGAGAGAGAGAGAGAGAGAGAGCGAGCGAAUUGGUCCGUGCGUUUCUAAUAAUUCUCCGAGUUAUGGCUCCUGAAGUUGUGGCUGCUGGAAGGAAGAGAAAGAGCCCGGAACCACCGUCUGGAAUCAAUCACGAAGUAUUCUUGAAUUUUAGAGGUGCAGAUACACGUGAAGGAUUCACGGAUCUUCUCCAUAGAGAUCUGCAAAUUGCGGGGAUCGAAGUCUUUAGAGAUGACAAAAAGCUCCUUGCUGGAGAAGAGAUCCAUCUGGGGCUGAAAAAAGCGAUCAAGCAAUCGAGGAUCUCAAUUGCCAUCUUUUCCAAAGAUUAUGCUUCCAGUAAAAGUUGUCUCAUGGAGCUGGUACAAAUGUGGGAGUGCAGACAAUCAAAUGGACAGACUAUUAUCCCUAUUUUCUAUGAUGUUAGUCCUGACGCUGUGAAACACCAGACUGGGGAUUUUGCAACGUCCUUCAAGAAACAUGAGGAUGACAAAGUCGACCCAAAGACCAUCCAAAAUUGGAAGAAGGUUCUUCAACUGGUCGGGGGAUUAAGCGGAUAUGAGCGGGAUAAUAUAAAUGGGCGGCAUGUGACCGACCUGCUAGACAAAGUUAUGACCCGUGUCCGGCAGGAGUUGAAGGAGGAUGACCAAGACGUACCCGACAAACUAGUUGGAAUCGAUCUUCAUGUUCAAUGGAUGAUGACAAAGCUUGAUGUUGUCUACAGCCGUGGACAAGCGAUGAAAGUAUGUGGAGAAGAUAGACGUGUCGUCGGAAUAUGCGGUAUGCCGGGUGUUGGAAAGACUACACUUGCGAAGGUUGUCUUCAACAAGAUCCACAAGUUGUUUCAUGCAUGUAGCUUCCUUAACGGGGUAAAUUCGGGAGGAGUCGAGUUUUCCCAAGAACUGUUGAUUGCUGACCUUCAAAAGGAAAAACGUGAACCACUGAGAUCUUCUGGUAAAGUUAAAAAAUUAAAAAGUCUCUUUACUAACAUGAAGGUUCUCAUUGUGCUUGAUGAUGUGCGUGAAGAUGAACAAAUUAAAGCAUUAGCUGGGGACCUUACUUGGUUUGGUCCAGGAAGUAGAAUCAUUGUGACCACACAUAGAAGAGAUGUUUUAAAGGUUUUCGACUUUGGAGAAGAAGACAAAGAUAGAGCAGCUGCACAAUACGAUGUUAAACCAAUGGAAUAUCAGGAUGCUCUUAAACUCUUUCGUAUGCAUGUUUUUCAAGGGGAUGCUCCCCAAGAUGUCUCCGAGUGCGAUUCCUUAUCCCCAGACAUCGUUGAAGCUCUUGGAAUGCUUCCUAUGGCUAUUAAGCUUCAGGCAAGCUAUUUAAAGAGUAAUAAGGAAAGAAGCAUAUGGCAGAGUAGCUUGAAGUCCUUACAAAAAUACCCACUAGAACGAAAGGUAGAAGCAGCCUUUGAGGCCAGUUACAAAUCUUUAGAUGACUGUGCACAGAAGAUAUACCUCGACAUAGCGUGCUUUUUUAUUGGAAAGGAUGAGAGGAUUCCCCCUUACAUGUGGGAGGAGGCUUGGCAUGGCGAUCCUCUUAGAAUUAUAAAACACCUUCGUGACAUGCAUUUCUUGGAAGAUGGAGAAAAUAAUGAAUUCAGAAUGCACGAUCUGUUGAGAGACUAUGGCAGGAAGCUUGUCAAGGGCUGCAGGAUUUGGAAUCACAGUGACGCACUUUCCAUUCUAAAGGAUGGUCAGUGUACUAAAAUAGUCGAGGGCAUUAGUCUUACGGUUGAAGAGGGUUCCGCCGUGGGCUUUACGUGCGAAGAAUUUUGCCAUAUGUUGAAUUUGAGGUACCUCAGACUGGACCAGGCUAAAAUCCAGGGAGAUAUUACGAAGCUUCCUCCAAAUUUGAGGUGGCUUGAACGAUGUUGAGCUGCCAGAAGCGGGGUCAUUGAAUCAGACCCCAUUUAUUGGGUGGAUCACGAGAUUAACAAGUCUAGAGACCUUGGAAUUGUCCGUUCCAAAUGUCACCAAUCUCCCUGGGAAUUUUUGUGCCCUCACGCAGCUCCGGGAACUCUCUUUAUCCUACAUAAAGGAGCUAGUCCUCACACAACUUCCCUCCUCAAGCUUAUUGACCCUGCGUCUCAAACGCUGCAAAAUUCAAGAGCCAAAAUUUUCUAUUCUGAAAUAUCUGUCAGAACUAGAACUAGAGUACUGCGAUUUAGCAGAGAUUGAUGGUCUUAAAGAUUUAAAGCUUUUAGAAGUCCUGAAAAUUUUUCAACGCAGCAGGAUAACAGACCUUAAUGGGCUCAAAAGAUUAGGACGUCUCAGGAAGGUGCAAGGUUUCUCUUCUGCUCUUGUUGGCCUACCAGAAUUAUCCAAAGGCGUUGAAGUGGACCGAUGUUAUUAGGCUAUAUCCUUAUCUUGCAUUUUCUCGAUCAGUGGCUGGAUAGUUUCUGUCCUGUACGGACCACUGUUGCACUUCGAGUCUUCGACGGUACAUCUCCUUUUAGUCUAAGAAGCAGGAGGGGCCAUAAAACACCGAAGGCAAACUCUUUGCAUCCCGCGAUUGGUAGUGGCAUCAAGAACCUCGCAUCAGAACCAUUGCUGAAGCAUCACCCCGACGUGCUCACAGAUGCACCUGUUAGGACUCGGGGAGAAGGCGGCAGAG